Molecule: long non-coding RNA, 411 nt
Filed under: Nicotiana benthamiana
Lineage: Eukaryota; Viridiplantae; Streptophyta; Magnoliopsida; Solanales; Solanaceae
Description: long non-coding RNA (NBEN_LNC030996)
Source: RNAcentral
CCUACCCCCUUGUCCUUGUCUCAAUAUAUGUUUUCCUCAUCCAAGUGCACUACUGCUUGGCUACUUAACAGCCCUGAAACAUCUCCCUGAGGUUGAUUAUAUUUGUGGUUUGGUACAGUAAGAACCAAACCCUUGUCUUACAACCAUGUCUGAUUACUUUUCCAACAUGUUGUCUGUACACUUUACUUAUUUGCUCUCUUACCUCCCUCCCCCUGUCUCAAUGAAUAUUUACUUUUUCCUUGUGUGCCACUACCAUGCAUCCAUAUCUUCUUGGUUACUUGGUUAACUUAAAACCCAUGUUUUAGGCUAAGUGUGUUAGAGCUGAACUCUUGUUUGCAACUAUGUCUGGUUACUUUCAGUAUGUUGCCUGUGUAAGUAGUUUACUUGUUUAUUUGUCCCUUUUCCCUUCGC